UACGUAGGGGGCGAGCGUUGUCCGGAUUUAUUGGGCGUAAAGAGCGUGUAGGCGGCUUGGUAGGUCUGCUGUGAAAACUCGGGGCUCAACCCCGAGACGUCGGUGGAAACCAUCUGACUAGAGUCCGGAAGAGGAGAGUGGAAUUCCUGGUGUAGCGGUGAAAUGCGCAGAUAUCAGGAAGAACACCCGUGGCUAAGGCGGCUCUCUAGUACGGUACUGACGCUGAGACGCGAAAGCGUGGGGAGCGAACAGG
RNAcentral lists this ribosomal RNA (253 nucleotides) under uncultured bacterium. RNAcentral's name for it is "partial 16S ribosomal RNA". It matches the Rfam family "Bacterial small subunit ribosomal RNA", at positions 524 to 776 of the family's 1533-position model. The record is from RNAcentral.